RNAcentral lists this ribosomal RNA (548 nucleotides) under Bionectriaceae sp. 146. Its description in RNAcentral is "eukaryotic LSU rRNA". The stretch from base 143 to 296 matches the Rfam family "5.8S ribosomal RNA". Lineage: Eukaryota; Fungi; Ascomycota; Sordariomycetes; Hypocreales; Bionectriaceae. The record is from RNAcentral.
GUGACCUUACCUAUCGUUGCUUCGGCGGGAUCGCCCCGGGCCGCUCCACGCGGGGCCUCCGGACCACGGCGCCCGCCGGAGGACCCAAACUCUUUGUUUUCAUGGUUUUCUCCUCUGAGUGGAUUAUAAACAAAUAAAUCAAAACUUUCAACAACGGAUCUCUUGGUUCUGGCAUCGAUGAAGAACGCAGCGAAAUGCGAUAAGUAAUGUGAAUUGCAGAAUUCAAUGAAUCAUCGAAUCUUUGAACGCACAUUGCGCCCGCCAGUAUUCUGGCGGGCAUGCCUGUUCGAGCGUCAUUUCAACCCUCAGGCCCCCAGUGCCUGGCGUUGGAGAUCGGCCGUACGGCCGCGGCCCCCGCUGGGGGUUCGCGCGCCGGGCCGGCUCCGAAAUCUAGUGGCGGUCUCGCUGUAGUCCUCCUCUGCGUAGUACCACAACCUCGCAGUUGGAACGCGGCGGUGGCCAUGCCGUUAAACACCCCACUUCUGAAAGUUGACCUCGGAUCAGGUAGGAAUACCCGCUGAACUUAAGCAUAUCAAUAAGCGGAGGAA